UAGGGAAUAUUGCACAAUGGGGGAAACCCUGAUGCAGCGACGCCGCGUGAGUGAAGAAGUAUUUCGGUAUGUAAAGCUCUAUCAGCAGGGAAGAAAUACUGACCGAGAGGUCAGCAGACAGUACCUGACUAAGAAGCCCCGGCUAACUACGUGCCAGCAGCCGCGGUAAUACGUAGGGGGCAAGCGUUAUCCGGAUUUACUGGGUGUAAAGGGAGCGUAGGUGGCAAGGCAAGUCAGAUGUGAAAGCCCGGGGCUCAACCCCGGUACUGCAUUUGAAACUGUCUAGCUGGAGUGCAGGAGAGGUAAGUGGAAUUCCUAGUGUAGCGGUGAAAUGCGUAGAUAUUAGGAGGAACACCAGUGGCGAAGGCGGCUUACUGGACUGUAACUGACACUGAGGCUCGAAAGCGUGGGGAGCAAACAGGAUUAGAUACCC
This 433-nucleotide ribosomal RNA is filed under the name uncultured bacterium. RNAcentral's name for it is "bacterial SSU rRNA". It matches the Rfam family "Bacterial small subunit ribosomal RNA", at positions 355 to 787 of the family's 1533-position model. The record is from RNAcentral.